RNAcentral lists this ribosomal RNA (460 nucleotides) under uncultured bacterium. RNAcentral's name for it is "partial 16S ribosomal RNA". It matches the Rfam family "Bacterial small subunit ribosomal RNA", at positions 338 to 795 of the family's 1533-position model. The record is from RNAcentral.
CCUACGGGUGGCAGCAGUGAGGAAUAUUGGUCAAUGGGCGAGAGCCUGAACCAGCCAAGUCGCGUGAAGGAUGAAGGAUCUAUGGUUUGUAAACUUCUUUUAUAUGGGAAUAAAGUGAGGCACGUGUUCCUUUUUGUAUGUACUAUAUGAAUAAGCAUCGGCUAACUCCGUGCCAGCAGCCGCGGUAAUACGGAGGAUCCGAGCGUUAUCCGGAUUUAUUGGGUUUAAAGGGAGCGUAGAUGGUUUGUUAAGUCAGCGGUGAAAGUUUGUGGCUCAACCGUAAAAUUGCCAUUGAUACUGGUAGCCUUGAGUACAUUUGAGGUAGGCGGAAUUCGUGGUGUAGCGGUGAAAUGCAUAGAUAUCACGAAGAACUCCGAUUGCGAAGGCAGCUUACUAAACUGUAACUGACACUGAUGCACGAAAGUGUGGGGAUCAAACAGGAUUAGAUACCCCAGUAGUC